CCUACGGGAGGCAGCAGUAGGGAAUCUUCCACAAUGGGCGAAAGCCUGAUGGAGCAACGCCGCGUGGGUGAAGAAGGUCUUCGGAUCGUAAAAUCCUGUUGUUAGAGAAGAAAGUGCGUGAGAGUAACUGUUUACGCUUCGACGGUAUCUAACCAGAAAGCCACGGCUAACUACGUGCCAGCAGCCGCGGUAAUACGUAGGUGGCAAGCGUUAUCCGGAUUUAUUGGGCGUAAAGGGAACGCAGGCGGUCUUUUAAGUCUGAUGUGAAAGCCUUGGGCUUAACCGGAGUAGUGCAUUGGAGACUGGGAAACUUGAGUGCAGGAGAGGAGAGUAGAACUCCAUGUGUAGCGGUGAAAUGCGUAGAUAUAUGGAAGAACACCAGUGGCGAAAGCGGCUCUCUGGUCUGUAACUGACGCUGAGGUGCGAAAGCGUGGGUAGCAAACAGGAUUAGAUACCCCUGUAGUC
Molecule: ribosomal RNA, 465 nt
Filed under: uncultured bacterium
Lineage: Bacteria
Description: partial 16S ribosomal RNA
Rfam family: Bacterial small subunit ribosomal RNA
Source: RNAcentral